Molecule: ribosomal RNA, 497 nt
Filed under: uncultured bacterium
Lineage: Bacteria
Description: partial 16S ribosomal RNA
Rfam family: Bacterial small subunit ribosomal RNA
Source: RNAcentral
GAUGAACGCUGGCGGCGUGCCUAAUACAUGCAAGUCGAGCGAACGGACUAUAAGCUUGCUUCUCUGAUCUUAGCGUCUGACGUGUGAGUGACACAUUGAUAACCUACUUAUAAGACUGGUAUAACUUCGUGAAACCUGAGCUAAUACCGUAUAAUAUUUUGAACUUCAUUAUUCAAAAGUGAAAGAUUGUCAUGCUCUCACUUAUAGCUAGAUCCUCGCUCUAUUUGCUAUUUGGUAAGGUAACGGCUUACCAAGGCAACGAUCAAUAGCCGACUUGCGAGGGGGACGGGCAAAACUGGAACUGAGAAACGGCCAAGACUCCUAGGGGAGGAAGAAGUGGGGAAUUUUCGGAAAUGGGAGAAAGCCUGACGGAGAAAGGCCGCGUGAGUGAUGAAGGUCUUCGGAUCGAAAAACUCUGUGAAUAGGGAAGAAGAUAUGUGGAAGUAAAUGUGCACAUUGUGACGGUACCUAAUCAGAAAGCCACGGCUAACUACGUG